Molecule: non-coding RNA, 97 nt
Filed under: Lentisphaeria bacterium
Lineage: Bacteria; Pseudomonadati; Lentisphaerota; Lentisphaeria
Source: RNAcentral
CGGUGGAACCCAUGCGUCGGAAGCGCGUGAACGGGUCAGAUGGGGAACCAAGCAGCCAUAAGCGUUGUGACCGGGUGCAGUGGAUCUUCUGCCGGAG